RNAcentral lists this unclassified non-coding RNA (345 nucleotides) under soil metagenome. Its description in RNAcentral is "partial contains 5.8S ribosomal RNA, internal transcribed spacer 2, and large subunit ribosomal RNA". The stretch from base 1 to 120 matches the Rfam family "5.8S ribosomal RNA", at positions 35 to 154 of the family's 154-position model. The record is from RNAcentral.
GAUGAAGAACGCAGCGAAAUGCGAUACGUAAUGUGAAUUCCAGAAUUCAGUGAAUCAUCGAGUCUUUGAACGCACAUUGCGCCCCCUGGUAUUCCGGGGGGCAUGCCUGUCCGAGCGUCAUUGCUGCCCUCAAGCACGGCUUGUGUGUUGGGCCUCCGUCCUCCUCCCGGGGGACGGGCCCGAAAGGCAGCGGCGGCACCGCGUCCGGUCCUCGAGCGUAUGGGGCUUCGUCACCCGCUCUUGUAGGCCCGGCCGGCGCUUGCCGACACAUCAAUCUUUUUUCCAGGUUGACCUCGGAUCAGGUAGGGAUACCCGCUGAACUUAAGCAUAUCAAUAAGCGGAGGA